Molecule: ribosomal RNA, 207 nt
Filed under: uncultured bacterium
Lineage: Bacteria
Description: partial 16S ribosomal RNA
Rfam family: Bacterial small subunit ribosomal RNA
Source: RNAcentral
AGCGCAGGCGGGAGAACAAGUUGGAAGUGAAAUCCAUGGGCUCAACCCAUGAACUGCUUUCAAAACUGUUUUUCUUGAGUAGUGCAGAGGUAGGCGGAAUUCCCGGUGUAGCGGUGGAAUGCGUAGAUAUCGGGAGGAACACCAGUGGCGAAGGCGGUCUACUGGGCACCAACUGACGCUGAGGCUCGAAAGUGUGGGUAGCAAACA